RNAcentral lists this ribosomal RNA (439 nucleotides) under uncultured bacterium. Its description in RNAcentral is "bacterial SSU rRNA". It matches the Rfam family "Bacterial small subunit ribosomal RNA", at positions 958 to 1398 of the family's 1533-position model. The record is from RNAcentral.
AACGCGAAGAACCUUACCAGGACUUGACAUGGGGAGGACGCAGCCAGAAAUGGCUGUUCCCGCAAGGGCCUCCUGCACAGGUGCUGCAUGGCUGUCGUCAGCUCGUGUCGUGAGAUGUUGGGUUAAGUCCCGCAACGAGCGCAACCCUCGCCUUCAGUUGCCAGCACGUUUGGGUGGGCACUCUGAAGGAACUGCCGGUGACAAGCCGGAGGAAGGUGGGGAUGACGUCAAGUCCUCAUGGCCCUUAUGUCCUGGGCUACACACGUGCUACAAUGGCGGUGACAGUGGGAAGCCAGGUGGCGACACCGAGCUGAUCCCAAAAAGCCGUCUCAGUUCAGAUUGCACUCUGCAACUCGGGUGCAUGAAGGUGGAAUCGCUAGUAAUCGCGGAUCAGCACGCCGCGGUGAAUACGUUCCCGGGCCUUGUACACACCGGAGUA